AAGGGGGGGAGGGAGGAGGGGGCGAGGAGGGGACUGCACCUGGCCGCCCCCGCCCCCGGCGUCCCGGCCCGUGCGUGGCCCGCAACCCACCGCCGCUCCGCUCUGCCAGCCCCGGCGGGGGGCUCAGGGGGCGGCGGGUCCCGAGUGGCUCCGGGCCGAGCGAGCCGGGCCGAGCCGCUCCGGCUUCUUUGUCUGCGGGCGGCCGCCCCGGCCGCGGCCCCCUGGCCCGGGCUGGGGGAUGAGUGUCUAGCCGGUGGCCGCUGGGCAGCCGGGGAGCGGGAGGCUGGGCUUCGGGCUCCGAAUGCACUAGGUGUGGGCUGGCGCCUACCACACCCUGCAGUGAGCAUGGAUCCCGGAGCUGGAUCGGACUCAUCUCUGACUGUCAAUGAGCAGGUCAUUGUGAUGUCAGGCCACGAGACCAUCCGAGUAUUGGAGGUGGGAGUGGAUGCCCAGCUUCCAGCCGAGGAGGAGAGCAAAGGACUGGAGAGUGUGGCAGCUGGUGGCUCCCAGAGUGGAGGCCCUGUUGAAGCCAGUGGACCUGCUGAAGCUGGGUCAUGUGACCCCGACCAUUCUGCAGAGGCAACUGUGAAGUCGCUGCCCGGAGUCCCUCCGAGUCCUGCCCCAGCGAUUGCCACCUUCAACCAAGCCCCGAGCCAGCCUCAGGCAUCACAGACCCUGACGCCGCUGGCUGUACAAGCUGCCCCCCAGGUCUUGACUCAGGAAAGCUUAGCCACAGUUCUGACAGGAGUUAUGGUCCCAGCAGGGACUGUUACUCAACCUCUUCUUAUCCCCAUCGGUAUUACAGGUCAAGUGGCUGGGCAGCAGGGGCUGGCCGUGUGGACAAUCCCUACAGCAACUGUGGCUGCCCUCCCAGGACUGACCGCGGCCUCUCCCACGGGGGGAACUUUCAAGCCACCUUUAGCUGGUCUCCAAGCAGCUGCCGUGCUGAACACCGCUCUCCCGACACCUGUACAAGCUGCCCCACCAAUCCAGGCCUCCUCGCCCGCCCAGCCCCGGCCACCAGCUCAGCCCCAGCCACUGUUCCAGACCCAGCCGCUGCUACAGACCACGCCUGCCAUCCUCCCACAACCCACCGCUGCCACCGUUGCUGCCCCCACACCCAAGACAGUGGACGCCACCCCGCAGAUCACUGUCCAGCCUGCAGGCUUCGCAUUUAGCCCAGGGAUCGUAAGCCGCUGCCCUCACCCAGGGCUGACGAGGGAUGGACCAAAGCUUGGGCCAAGGGUGGAAUGUCCCCCACAGUGGAGGACCAGCUCCUUGAACACAGCCAUUCCCGGCACAUCAGCAAAGAUGGGCUCCCAUUGAGAUCAGUGCAGCCUCCCUCGGGGGACAGACGCAGAUCCUGGGCUCCCUCACUACAGCUCCAGUUAUUACCAACACCAUUCCCAGCAUGCCCGGGAUCAGCAGUCAGAUCCUCACGAAUGCUCAGGGACAGGUUAUUGGAGCACUUCCGUGGGUAGUGAACUCAGCUAGCGUGGCCACACCAGCACCGGCACAGAGCCUGCAGGUCCAAGCCGUGACUCCCCAGCUCUUGUUGAAUGCCCAGGGCCAGGUGAUCGCAACCCUAGCCAGCAGCCCCCUGCCUCAGCCUGUGGCUGUCAGGAAGCCAAACACACCGGAGUCCCCUGCUAAGAGUGAGGUGCAGCCUAUCCAGCCGACACAAGCCGUGCCCCAGCCUGCAGUAAUCCUCACCAGCCCAACGCCAGCGCUCAAGCCGUCAGCUGCAACUCCCAUCCCAAUCACCUGCUCAGAGACCCCAACCGUCAGUCAGUUGGUAUCAAAGCCGCACACCCCAAGUCUGGAUGAGGACGGGAUCAACUUAGAAGAGAUCCGGGAGUUUGCUAAGAAUUUUAAGAUCCGGCGGCUCUCCCUGGGUCUGACACAGACCCAGGUGGGCCAGGCUUUGACGGCGACAGAAGGGCCGGCCUACAGCCAAUCAGCCAUCUGCAGGUUUGAGAAAUUGGACAUCACACCCAAGAGCGCCCAGAAGCUGAAGCCGGUUUUGGAAAAGUGGUUGAUGGAGGCAGAGCUCCGCAACCAGGAAGGCCAGCAGAACCUGAUGGAGUUCGUGGGCGGCGAGCCCUCCAAGAAACGCAAGCGGCGCACUUCCUUCACACCGCAGGCCAUAGAGGCUCUCAAUGCCUACUUUGAGAAAAACCCCCUGCCCACCGGCCAGGAGAUCACGGAGAUCGCCAAGGAGCUCAACUACGACCGGGAGGUGGUGAGGGUCUGGUUCUGUAAUCGACGCCAGACACUGAAGAACACCAGCAAGCUGAACGUCUUUCAGAUCCCGUAGGGCUCAGUGUCAGCGUGUGCCGGCGCACUGUACUCUUCCCUCAGCAACCAGCCGAAGUCACUGCGGUGACUGUACUGUGUGCAGCUGCGUUUGCCCUAGGUCGUGAGCCUCCACCUGUGCAUGCGUGUCAAUGCCUGCCUCUUCUGCCCACAUAUGUCACACCCUGGGGAGGCCUGAGGGGCUGCAUGAGAGCCUUAGGCUCUGGCUGGGCAUGUGGAAGGAGGGGGUUUGUGGAGUCAUAGAAAAGCACUUUGCUAAGGUGGUUUCUGAAGGGCGAGUUCCGGUUGGGAACCAGAAAGGCUCUGUCUUUGGGGCAGGGCUGUAGCAACUUUUGGGGACAACUGUGUAGUAGCUCUUGGUUUUGGUGGCACCCUUUGCUCUUCCCUUCGCUCCUCUGUGGUUGUGCCCAUGUGACAACUGCAGCCUCACACUGCCUCCCUAACUCUGUCUAUGGGCACACUGAACCCCUUAAAGGACAGAGGCGAUAGAAUCCAGAGAAGCAUGGUGUGCUGCUCAGACUCACUGGCUGCCUUGAUCUUGAGGGCAGAAGGUUCCCAAAGUGAAGCUGAGGGGUCGGAUGCCCAAGGUCAGGAGCUGCGAGGUCUCUCCCCAGGUCCUGCUGGUGGUGGGUUUGUGCUCACUCGAAAUGUUUUCUCCCGCAAACCAAGUUGGAAGGAAGCAAGAGUAAACUCUCUCACCCUGGAGAGUCUUAGGUCUGUGGCAGGCCUGGAGUUUAUAAAGUAAAUGAGGACAUCCACCCAGACUUAUCUAAGUUUCCAGCUGUCUUCCAACACAAGAGCAUGCUAGAGUUUGGGAAAUUUUCCUCUGCCCACUUACACAGACAGCAGCAUGGGGCACGGAUUCCGACUGACUUUCCCCCCUCUCGUGCCCUUACCCAUCUCAGUGCAGGACUGAGAUGUCUUCAAAGGAGCCAAUUGAACCAAAAGCCAGACAUGGAGGAGCUGGCGUGGGAGGAAGACAGUAUCUAAAGGGAUGAUGGUCCGGGGAGGUCUCUUGUUGAGGCUGACUUAACUCUAGUUUUGUUUGUAAUUAAGUCUUGGAGAUCUCCAGAGACGUCACUUUGUCCAGUUGUAGACCAGAUCUGUCUUUGAGCAACCCUCCCCUCCACCCCCCGUCCUCAUCCCUCUGGGGUGCUCCUCUGAGCCAACAGUGCCCAGGUCAGGACUUUCCCUGGGUAGGUGAUGGCAAUCCGGGACCUGGCAUCACACCCAAGCCACUAAGCCAGACUUUGCAGCCACAGAGAGGCUGGCAGACUUUUCACUUCAGUGCAUUGGCUGGGGAAUGUGGCUCAGCGGGAGAGAGCUUGGCAUGUAUAAGGCUCCAGAGUCAGAUUGUAGCACCAAGGGGAAACACUUUGCUUUCAAGAAGUCAGGAAAGAGCUAAGACGUUCUCUUGGAUGACCCCUUUACAAGCUGUGGGCAUCAACUGUCUCGAUACUUUUGGGGUUGGUUUGUUGGCUUUUGUUUUGUUUUGUUUGUGAUAGGAUCACACUGUAGCCCAGGCUAACCUCAGACUUGGAAUUGAAGGCGACCUGAUCCUCCUGUCUCCCCCCACCUCCCAAGCACUGGGUCUGCAGUCGCGUGCCACUGUGCCGCUGUGCCUGGCUCUUCUCCACUCCACAGCCUUACUGAGCUUGCUCUCUGGAUGAUGUUGACAUCACGUGAUCUACCCUGAAGCAAUGACUCUCAAACAUGGACAUGAUGCAGAGACACCAGGGCUCAGCUUUCUCUCUCGUACCCUGUUCCCUUUCCUGGUCCUCUUGGGUCCUGCAGUACUGGUGUGGAGGGACCUCCUAGUAGCUCUGACAAUGAGAGGAGGGCAGUUGUGUGCUGAUCACACACACACACACACACCACAAGUCUGUCAGGUAUAAGGAGACAAGUAGGUUGCUUUCCUGAUCCUGCCUCCCAAGAAAGAAUAAUUCCCAGAGCGAUUCUAGGUCAUGUGAUUAUCAUCCUGCUUCUGUGAGAUGGAAGUCAGGAGGGGUCCUGUAAGAGAGCUUUCAGUAGGGAUGCUUAGAGCCCUGAAGCUUAUCAAGAUGAUGCACCUGAGAAAACUAUAUGCAGAUCUGCAGCUUUUCUUGCUCAAAGCCUGCACUCAGGAGGUACUACACAGUCAGCCAUGCUGUGGUCAGCCAUGCUGUGGUCAGCCAUGCUGUGGACAUGGGAGAGGAUGCCAUGCAGUCUAUGCAUGACAGGCGGGGAUAAUCAUGGCCCACUAAAUUAAGCCGACCACUCGUUCUCACCCCGUCCUUUGUCCAAAUCUGUCUUCUCAAGGCUGGCCUAGAGUGAACCAUUUUCUCCUGUGUUGGAAAGAUAUAUUGGUCUUUCAGAACAGUACCAUGUUUACAGGCUGGACUUCUCAAGGAAGGGAUUCAAGAGUAUAAAGUGUACCCAAAGUGGGGUUCGCUUUGGCCUUUGGACUCUGCUCCCCAGCCUGGGCCACUGAUCUACAGUCUUUGUUAUUUUGGGGAGCAUUAGACUCUAAAAAAGUUUUAAUAGCAGUUUUAUCAUGAAAGCACCUUCUCGGACGUAAACCCGCGCUCGAUGGCUUUUUUUGCCCUGGAAAGGGGAGAAUGGGAGGAAGUAGUUCAACUGUGUGGUUGGUUUGUUUUAAGUGAUGGGAAACCAAGACACUCUGUGGCCCUGCUGAAUCAGCUGCGCCCUUCGACCCUGCACUAACUAUGGCACUUCACCCAAGCAAAGUGAACCGUGAACACACGUGAGUUUGGAAUGAGAACACCUGAUGUGUUUGUGUUCUUGAAAAGCCAGUCACCUUCCUAUUCCCAGGACGCCUUUCCUGCCUGGUGGGCCAAAUCCCGAAGUCCCAACAUUCUCCUGGCACGGCAAGGGGCCACUGCCCACUGCUAGCUGGGGAGGAGGAAGGGGGAGUAUUGCCGUAGCGUGUGAAUAAACAGUAUUUUUUUCUUUCGUA
RNA transcript from Mus musculus (house mouse), 5272 nucleotides. It is a transcript of the gene named POU domain, class 6, transcription factor 1, with no coding region annotated. Lineage: Eukaryota; Metazoa; Chordata; Mammalia; Rodentia; Muridae. The transcript has 11 exons. The record is from RefSeq and is marked validated.